RNAcentral lists this ribosomal RNA (497 nucleotides) under uncultured bacterium. Its description in RNAcentral is "partial 16S ribosomal RNA". It matches the Rfam family "Bacterial small subunit ribosomal RNA", at positions 28 to 507 of the family's 1533-position model. The record is from RNAcentral.
GAUGAACGCUGGCGGCGUGCCUAAUACAUGCAAGUCGAGCGAACGGACGAGAAGCUUGCUUCUCUGAUGUUAGCGGCGGACGGGUGAGUAACACGUGGAUAACCUACCUAUAAGACUGGGAUAACUUCGGGAAACCGUAGCUAAUACCGGAUAAUAUUUUGAACCGCAUGGUUCAAAAGUGAAAGACGGUCUUGCUGUCACUUAUAGAUGGAUCCGCGCUGCAUUAGCUAGUUGGUAAGGUAACGGCUUACCAAGGCAACGAUGCAUAGCCGACCUGAGAGGGUGAUCGGCCACACUGGAACUGAGACACGGUCCAGACUCCUACGGGAGGCAGCAGUAGGGAAUCUUCCGCAAUGGGCGAAAGCCUGACGGAGGAACGCCGAGUGAGUGAUGAAGGUCUUCGGAUCGUAAAACUCUGUUAUUAGGGAAGAACAUAUGUGUAAGUAACUGUGCACAUCUUGACGGUACCUAAUCAGAAAGCCACGGCUAACUACGUG